ACGCUCGACACCUACGGGGGGCAGCAGUGGGGAAUAUUGCACAAUGGGGGAAACCCUGAUGCAGCAACGCCGCGUGAAGGAAGACGGUUUUCGGAUUGUAAACUUCUGUUCUUAGUGAAGAUAGUGACGGUAGCUAAGGAGCAAGCCACGGCUAACUACGUGCCGGCAGCCGCGGUAAUCUGAGCGGGCUGGCAAGGC
This 198-nucleotide ribosomal RNA is filed under the name uncultured bacterium. RNAcentral describes it as "partial 16S ribosomal RNA". It matches the Rfam family "Bacterial small subunit ribosomal RNA", at positions 328 to 539 of the family's 1533-position model. The record is from RNAcentral.